Long non-coding RNA from Bos taurus (domestic cattle), 1217 nucleotides. The record is from Ensembl. Lineage: Eukaryota; Metazoa; Chordata; Mammalia; Artiodactyla; Bovidae.
GGCAGGCUAGAGUUUGUGGAAGAUAGGGGUAUCUGAUUACUUCCAUACGGAUGAUGAGAAAGGAGUUUAGCGUUAACCUUCAGGUAGCCAGAAUUCCUAUUCCGGCCAUUGGAAUAAAGGUUCCUAUGCAUCACCAACCCUAAAGCAGUAUGAGAAAACUACCAGCCAACUACACUGAGAAGAUCUAGGAACUGCAGGUGAUGAAGACACAACCAACUCUUAACCAGCUGGGCAUUCCACCACACCACUCCUGUCAUUCAUUAUGAUGUCAUGAGGAUGACUGCCAUCCACAUCAGACCCCACAGACCUGGCAGUCCCCAGGAUCUCUUUAAUAGUUCCAGAGUAUUCUGUAGCUAAAGAUUGGUGUUACAUCUGCUGGGCAAUGUGGAUGACCUCAUCAAAAGUGAUGUUUCCACUGUGCUUACUAUUUUUCUGCUUCUUUCUGUCUUUUGGUUGCUCCUUAGAGGCUCUGAUGAUCAGGAUAGACACAGAAAGUAUCACCUCAAUCUGGGCCUGUCUGUUCUGAACGAUUGGUUUCACUGGAGUCCUCAGACCCUUCCAAUCACCAGCGCCUUUGCAAUGUUAUCACCAACCUCUUUUGGAGACAGACCCAGGGGGCCGAGCUUGGGGGCCAGGACAGACGUGGCACAGACUUCCCCACGGGCGCCCCUCAGGUAUAUAACUAUGUCUCCUUAGUGUCUAACUUAGGCGACAUGGUGAGGCCGCUGGUGUCAGAUAAACCUGGAUUGCAGAGGAUUGAAGAAAACUGCACCUCAGCCUCCUUCCAGCUGAAAUCUGAACUAAAGCCAUUUAAAUUAUUGUUAGUGCUCUAGCAGCUGACACUUUUGUUCUCCAGUCAUCAUAGUCAUUCCCUUUCUCAGCACGCACACAGGCUUCUAAUUUUCCAUGUUUUGUGCAACUGAAGUCAACGCACCACAGUAUGACGUGGAAUUUGUGAGAAGAAAGACUUUCUUAUGUUAAAUGGGAAAAUGGAAAUUGUUAAAAAAAAAAGGGGGGGGGAGGGGUAUGGAAAAGCGAUUGAAAGCAUAUUUUCAGCACAUAAAUUUUAGGAACGUGUAAGAAUGAAAGCUGAGGGACUUCCCUGGUGGUCCAGUGGCUAAGACUCUGUGCUCCCAAGCAGGGGUCCCGGCUUCAGUUCCUGGUCAGGGACCUAGAAUCCGCAUCCCACAGACCUGGAGCAGCAGAUAAAUAAAUAU